GAAAAAUGUUAACAUACUUAAUAAAAAAGAACACUUCAGAGUCAAUUAGAAAUGUACCUAAUUGUCUCUAUAACAUAAAAAGUUACUUAGAAUUUCUGAUACUUUAUCAGUUUUAGGAGAGAGUAAUAAAAUGACUUUCCUUUUUCUGUGUGUGUUAGAUAAGUUAAAGCAUGCAAAACUUGUUUCAGUAUUGCCUGGCAUAUGCCAACUAUUUGAUAAUAGUUAUUAUAAAAAAUUGUUUUAUUUCCUGGUUGAUUGUAAGCUCUUUAUUGUGAUCCAUAAAGUCCUGUAUGAGCCAGCCCCUCCCUAUCUUAUAACACUCUACCUUUUGGGGACUUUGCACCAGCUGCGUUUUGUUGCUUAGAGCUUUCCUCCCCGAUGUCCCUAUAUUACUGGCUCCUGCCCAUCAUUCAAAUCUUAGCUCAGUGGUUACCUUUCCAGACAGGUCUUUCCUGGUCACUGCAUCUAAGUAGGCCUACUAAUCCAUCCCUGGUCACUAACUAUUAUGGAAUUUGAAAUUCAAACCUGUGUUUUUCUCCUAGUGUUUUAUCACUGUGUAGUCAACUGACUUGUGUCUUCUCCCCCAGAAAAAAAGAUACGUUCUGGUUCUAAGCCCCAGUACCUAUUAAUGUAACCAUACUUGACUGAAAAUAAGGUAUUUGCAGGUAUAAUCAAGUUAAAAUGAGGUAGUACUAUACUAGGGUAGGCCCUAAAUCCAGUGACAGGCGUCUUCAUAAGAAAAAGAAGAGAGAUAUUUAGACACAGAGACAUGCAGGAUACAAACAGAGAACAGAGACAUAAAAACAAGAGAUUAGAAUCAUGAGGCCACAGCCAAGCAAUGCCUGGGACCACUAGAUGCAGGAAUAGGCGAGGAAAGAUUCUCCCCUAGAGCCAGCGAAGAGAGCACAGUCCUGCUGACACCUUGAUUUCAGACUUCUGACCAUCAGAACCGUGACGGAAUAAAUUUCUGUUGUUUUGAGCCACCCAGUUUGUGGUAAUUUGUUACGGAAGCCCCAGGAAACUAAUACACAUGGCUUGAAACUAACUUGUUUAUUUUUGAUGUUCUGUUUAUUAUCUGUCUGACUUUAGGAGUAUGUUUACCUUGUGCAAGCAGAAGUCAAUUGUCUUCUUCACCACUUUAAUUCCAGGGACUGGAAUGAUGCUGCCUAGAGCACAGUAGUUCAGUUCCUUUCUGUUGCUCUGUCAAAGCCAAGAGAGAGCCUGACUUCUCUGCUGACAUCUAAGUCUUCAGAAGAAUGAACUGGCACCUCAUUGACCUAUUUCUGAUGUAAUUACCAUCUAAGAAAUGCAUACCUCCCAAGUUACAACAUACAAAGUCAAAGAAAGGACAAGGAACAAGCCUUUUCCUAUCGUGAGUGUGAGUGUCAUUCUCAGUGCUUCUGCUACAGCCAGAUUUCUUGCUCCCCUGUGUUUCUGCAGUCUCUUGGGCAUAAGCCAUGGGUUGAAGCAGCCAACUCUAUGAUUAUUCAACUCUUUAACUUAAAACAUUGGCACUUAGUGAGUUAGUGAGCGAUGGUCCUGCACUAACACAAAAUUGAAAAACAAAGCACUGAUAAGUUAUAAUUAUGUUAUUCUUUUCUUUGUGCCAUAUUCCUAUAUCUUAUUUGUAUUUAAUUACAUUGUAUGUCUACUUAGUAGAUAACAUACUAUUUUUUCAAUUGAAACCAUGAUUUUUAUAUGUUUCACUGGAAAUGUUUGGAAAAUUAUGAGCCCUUGGACUUCAUUGAACUGUAAGUUUUAUCCUUCCGUUUCUUUUCUUUGACCCAUUUAUUUUGGCAAGAAAAACAUUUAUUAUACUUGAAAAGGCUUCCUUCAUCAUGGUUCAAACAUGAGGCUCAGGUUUUUUGAACCAUGUAAGAACAGUGCAUACCAGAGACUGUAUCUGAGUACUUGGUACAUAUUUGCUAGUGGGUUGCUAUUUGUUGAUUAAAUAAAUGAGGGAAAUAUUGAGAGUCUGUGACAACUGUAUCUUAAACUUUGCAUCAGAUAUAACCAGACAAUACCAGAAUUAUUACAUUGAUUACGGAAGUAGAAUCUGACCUCCGUCUAGUUCAGGAUGCCUUUGCAGCUGUUAAAGAAAAGACAAAGUAUCUGCUUCAGGACUCUUUUCCCGGCUUUGGAGAAAGGACUCCAGUGAGGUUAAGAGCUGAUUUAGAGUUACAGUAGUAUAUCCAUCAAUACAGUGCUCCAGUCCCACAGGAUACUCAGAAAACAUUUUUACUGAUUGUUUCUAACCUUUACUUUCUGUCUCUUAGGCAUUUCGAAAUGAACAACAAAGCAACAAGUCUUACGCUUACAAUCUUCAUUUGGCAUGUUUAGAAGUUUGGACUGCUAACAAAUGUCUGUUAAGCAUUACCCCAACCUGUUUUAAAAGAUGUCACAGCAUUCAUGACUAUGGAACUGUGUUCACACCAGAUGACAAGAAUCUGUUAGCAACCUGUUAUGUAGUUUUCAGCCUCUUAGGGUAUAAUGGGUAUAAAUAC
Molecule: long non-coding RNA, 2504 nt
Organism: Homo sapiens (human)
Lineage: Eukaryota; Metazoa; Chordata; Mammalia; Primates; Hominidae
Source: Ensembl